RNAcentral lists this ribosomal RNA (496 nucleotides) under uncultured bacterium. RNAcentral describes it as "partial 16S ribosomal RNA". It matches the Rfam family "Bacterial small subunit ribosomal RNA", at positions 28 to 506 of the family's 1533-position model. The record is from RNAcentral.
GAUGAACGCUGGCGGCGUGCCUAAUACAUGCAAGUCGAGCGAACAGACGAGGAGCUUGCUCCUCUGACGUUAGCGGCGGACGGGUGAGUAACACGUGGAUAACCUACCUAUAAGACUUGGAUAACUUCGGGAAACCGGAGCUAUUACCGGAUAAUAUAUUGAACCGCAUGGUUCAAUAGUGAAUGACGGUUUUUCUGUCACUUAUAGAUGCAUCCGCGCGGCAUUAGCUAGUUGGUAAGGUAACGGCUUACCAAGGCAACGAUGCGUAGCCGACCUGAGAGGGUGACCGGCCACACAGGAAGUGAGACACGGUACAGACACCGACGGGAGGCAGAAGUAGGGAAGCUUCCGCAAUGGGCGAAAGCCUGACGGAGCAACGCAGCGUGAGUGAUGAAGGUCUUCGGAUCGUAAAACGCUGUUAUGAGGGAAGAACAAAUGUGUAAGUAACUAAGCACGUCUUGACGGUACCUAAUCAGAAAGCCACGGCUAACUACGU